CCUACGGGAGGCAGCAGUGAGGAAUAUUGGUCAAUGGGCGCGAGCCUGAACCAGCCAAGUAGCGUGAAGGAUGACUGCCCUACGGGUUGUAAACUUCUUUUAUAAAGGAAUAAAGUGAGGCACGUGUGCCUUUUUGUAUGUACUUUAUGAAUAAGGAUCGGGCAACUCCGUGCGAGCAGCCGCGGUAAUACGGGGGAUCCGAGCGUUUUCCGGUUUUAUUUGGUUAAAGGGGAGCGAAGAUGGGUUGUUAAGUCAGUUGUGAAAGUUUGCGGCUCAACCGUAAAAUUGCAAUUGAUACUGGCAGUCUUGAGUACAGUUGAGGUAGGCGGAAUUCGUGGUGUAGCGGUGAAAUGCUUAGAUAUCACGAAGAACUCCGAAUGCGAAGGCAGCUUACUAAACGGCCACUGACAUUGAUGCUCGAAAGUGUGGGUAUCAAACAGGAUUAGAUACCCUUGUAUC
Molecule: ribosomal RNA, 459 nt
Filed under: uncultured bacterium
Lineage: Bacteria
Description: partial 16S ribosomal RNA
Rfam family: Bacterial small subunit ribosomal RNA
Source: RNAcentral